RNAcentral lists this transfer RNA (74 nucleotides) under Paludibacteraceae bacterium. RNAcentral's name for it is "tRNA-Ile". The record is from RNAcentral. Lineage: Bacteria; Pseudomonadati; Bacteroidota; Bacteroidia; Bacteroidales; Paludibacteraceae.
GGGCUCAUAGCUCAGUUGGUUAGAGCACCUGACGCAUAAUCAGGGGGGCGGAGGAUCAUGCCCGUCUGGGCCCA